UCCUCUCUAAUGGAGGAACGUUCAUUAGCAAUUUCGCACCGUUUAAUCUCGAAAGAUAAGUAGCUUUGUAAGUGUUUUAUAUGGUAUGGAUCACCCUAAUGGUGGCGACCAUAUUUGACUUGCAAAAUAUGAAACAACGGUAGAAGCUCAUAAGAUAGAAUAGCCUUGACUCUCGCCUAAACGGGACAAUGCUGGAUUCCAAUCUUGAUCGAAUAAAAGGUUGCUAGAAUGUUUAAUAUUUUAGAUGAGCUGACAACUCUAUUCAAUAGAUGGUAGCUUUGACUCUCGCCUAAACGGGACACUGAUAUCAGUUUGUUGAAAACCUUGGAAAUUAUUUAGGAUUAUAUUUUUUUAGUAUUUUCUCUUAUCAUUCCUACAUGCUAUGUGCUUAUAAUUUCUGAAUUGAUUUUGUGUUAAACCAUUAUUGAUUUCUAUUUGUUAUUUUGUAGUAUCCUGUAUAACCAUGAUGAAUUCCAUGUUAUCACUCUUGACCGAAAAUAAGCUAAAUGGAUCUAACUUUCCAAAAUGGAAUGAGAACAUUAAUAUUGCUCUCAUAGGAGAAAGUGCCUUGUUUGUGUUAACUGAGCCGUCUCCAGAAGUGCCGGGGAAUAAUGCAUCCAAAGCUGUGAAAGAAAAGUAUGAGCGUUGGCAGAAAGCAAAUGACAAAGCUCUAUACUUUAUGCUUUCCAGCAUGGUUGACACCCUUAAAACUCAGUUUUCUAAAACCGAAAAAGGUUGCUGAAGUAAUGACGAAGUUAACUGAGCUAUUCGGUAAGGCAUCUCUUCAGUCUCGCUUUGGCGCGACUAAGAAAUACAUCAAUGCACGGAUGGAACCCCAUCAAAACGUGGGUGAUCAUGUUCUCCUCAUGGCAAGUUAUUUCCAGGAAGCCCAGGAUCAUGGUGCUGAAAUGGAUCAUACUACUCAAGUAGGCUUUAUCUUGAAUAGUCUGACUCCAGCAUUUCUGCCCUAUACAUCAAAUUAUGUCAUGAAUAAAAAGGACAUAGACUUUCAUGAGUUAGUCAAUGACCUUCAGACAUGAAAAUUUGAUUGGAGGACCCAAGAAGAAAGGGAGUAAGCCUCAAAAUUCUGGGAAUGGUAAUGGGACAGUCAAACCUGAAGAAAAUGUUGCCUCUGCUUCUAAACCCAAAUCGAAGAAGAAGUGGAAAAACACCAAGAAGCGUGCAAAAGCCAUGAAAAACAAAUAGGCUGCUGCUUCUGGUGAUGCACCCAAAGGAAAGUGUUUCUACUGCAAUGAGAAAGGUCAUUGGAAACCCCAAUGUCCUAAACUUCUUGCAAAGAAACAAGGCCAAGCUACUUGAACUCAGAUGUUAUCUUCAUGAGUUGGAUCAGAAAGCUAGACAAAGGGUGAAGAUCGUCCAAGAUGAAGAUGAAGCUCAUUUAUCUAUUUUUUGAAUUAAUUGUUUUAGUUUAAAGACAAUUUGGAUUUCGAAUUUUAGUUUGGGAUUUUUAUCCCUGUUUUUCUCAUAUUGUUGCAAUACAUUUUUUUAUUAAUAAAGUUUAUAUUAUUUUCAA
Long non-coding RNA from Cannabis sativa, 1534 nucleotides. RefSeq lists it as uncharacterized. The transcript has 2 exons. The record is from RefSeq and is a predicted model, not a curated record. NCBI's taxonomy places the organism in Eukaryota, Viridiplantae, Streptophyta, Magnoliopsida, Rosales, Cannabaceae.